GCUGGGUGCAGUGUUGCACGCCUGUAAUACCAGCAGCUUGGGAGGCUGAGGUAGGAGGAUUGCGAGUUCAAAGCCAGCCUCAGCAACAUAAGGAGGCCCUAAGCAACUAGCAAGACCCUGUCUCUA
Molecule: small RNA, 126 nt
Filed under: Marmota monax (woodchuck)
Lineage: Eukaryota; Metazoa; Chordata; Mammalia; Rodentia; Sciuridae
Source: RNAcentral